Molecule: ribosomal RNA, 443 nt
Filed under: uncultured bacterium
Lineage: Bacteria
Description: partial 16S ribosomal RNA
Rfam family: Bacterial small subunit ribosomal RNA
Source: RNAcentral
CCUACGGGAGGCAGCAGUGGGGAAUAUUGGGCAAUGGGCGCAAGCCUGACCCAGCAACGCCGCGUGAAGGAAGAAGGCUUUCGGGUUGUAAACUUCUUUUCUCAGGGACGAAGAAAGUGACGGUACCUGAGGAAUAAGCCACGGCUAACUACGUGCCAGCAGCCGCGGUAAUACGGAGGUGGCAAGCGUUAUCCGGAUUUACGGGGUGUAAAGGGCGUGUAGGCGGGAAAGCAAGUCAGAGGGGAAAACCACGGGCUCAACCUGUGGCCUGCAUUUGAAACUGGGUGUCUUGAGUACUGGAGAGGCAGACGGAAUUCCUAGUGUAGCGGUGAAAUGCGUAGAUAUUAGGAGGAACACCAGUGGCGAAGGCGGUCUGCUGGACAGCAACUGACGCUGAGGCGCGAAAGCGUGGGGAGCAAACAGGAUUAGAUACCCCUGUAGUC